This is a long non-coding RNA of Ruditapes philippinarum (Manila clam), 1478 nucleotides long. RefSeq lists it as uncharacterized. Lineage: Eukaryota; Metazoa; Mollusca; Bivalvia; Venerida; Veneridae. The transcript is spliced from 3 exons. The record is from RefSeq and is a predicted model, not a curated record.
UUUUGGGAGAGGCAACAUUUAUACAUGUUUUUAUGUAGAAUUUGUCUUAAAAUAGCAUGCUAAAUUAUCUUUCAAAAGCUUAUUUCUACUCAAUCUAUUUAGGUAUUAGAUAUAGUUAUACAUUCAAAUGAAUGUAAAAAAUAAAAUGAUGGGUGCUAUGGUUUUUGGAAAAUCCCUCACAAUUUAAAAUUAUAAUGGACUGUCCAUGCAGUUACACCGUUGUAAAGUUUGAAUUCAAAGGAAUUGAGGUCAGUUAAAGCUUGCAAACACAAAGGAAAUUAUUGAUAUUGUAGCAAUUCUGGAGAUAUUUUGUUUAAAAUGUAAGGGUGCAUAUUUUUGAUUUCUCAAAGAAAACAUUUAAAGUCUUAUUAGUGUGGUAAAUAGAAAUGAGAAGUUUUAACUGAAGUGUGAAUGUGUAGACAAGAAGAUAAACAGCAGAAUCAUUCCCAGUCAAAGUUUCAGACACAAAGCAAUGAGGAGCAGCCUGGAGCAACACAUUUGAUCUUCAGUGGCUUUACAAAGGUAUCUUGUUAAUUCAAAGUUAUUUUAGAAUUAAUAGGAAAGAAGAGUCACAGUACCCAAUAAGACACUUUUCAGUUCUUGAUAAAUAUAGCUAUUAGUCACUAUUUACAAACCUACUUUAAUUCAAACUCUUUAUGACACUUUAAUUUGCAUUUACAUUUUGUUUUACAAAUUUUAGAGUUUUUGUACAUUUUAGCUUGAAAAUUUUAUCAAAUAUUUAUCCUGAUGAAGGUUCGUUAAGAACUGAAACUGGAAGAUUAUUAAUUACUCAACCUGCACUGGUGUUGAUGUGUUGUAUUUCUUUUUCUUUCUUAUUUUAAAAUUUUAGAGUUGUAUACAUAUACCAAGGUCUUAAGUGAUUCAUUUUCUGUCUUUACAUAUUAGAUAUUGAUAAUCAUUAAUUUUUCUGUCUUUACUUAUUUGAUAUUGUUAAUCAUAUUUUAGGACCAUGGCAGAACUGAAGCCAUAUGCCUCAAAAGAGAAAGGUACAGCAAAGCUCUUCAGAAUGCUAUUCAAUAUAGAAGAGAUUAAAGGACGCUCAUUGUUUGGUAUGAGGAAAGGGAACAGAGAGUCUGACGCCAGACCUUCUUGUGCAGACAAGGCAAAACUUAAGUUCUUGGAAGAUUGUGCGCUCGAAAAGUUGCCGACAACCUAAAGGACUGAACUCAAACCGUCCAGGAAUAGCAAGAUAAACUGAAGAAAAUCAAUGGACUAAUGUUUUGCUUUUUUUUGAGACAAUAUAUAAUUUCAUAUGGAAACAUUAAAAAGGAUUAUUUUUAAAAUUUGUUUGUUUCCAAUUUAGGGUACAGGGUGACUUUCAAGCAGUUUCCAGCUAUUGCCACCCACAAGGUGGAAAAUUUCUGAAAGGGUGAAAAUAGGUGGCAUUUAGUGGAAACUGAAUUUGCCACUAUCUGGUGGCAAAAUGGUGGAAAAGUGUCUAAAUACUCCACCAAUUU